GAUCAUGGCUCAGGACGAACGCUGGCGGCGUGCUUAACACAUGCAAGUCGAACGAGAAUCUGUGGAUCGAGGAUUCGUCCAAGUGAAGCAGAGGACAGUGGCGGACGGGUGAGUAACGCGUGAGGAACCUGCCUUUCAGAGGGGGGACAACAGUUGGAAACGACUGCUAAUACCGCAUGAUACGUUUUAGGGGCAUCCCUGAGACGUCAAAGAUUUAUCGCUAAAAGAUGGCCUCGCG
Molecule: ribosomal RNA, 238 nt
Filed under: uncultured bacterium
Lineage: Bacteria
Description: partial 16S ribosomal RNA
Rfam family: Bacterial small subunit ribosomal RNA
Source: RNAcentral